AGGAAAUUAGCCUGAUGAACUUUAGCAUCACAGUGAAAACAGAGAAAAGCUGAAUCAGAUGGACAAAACAGAGCAGCUUGAUCAUUGCAAAGCUCACAGAGUUUAGAGGACAGAAGUUCCAUUUUUGUAUACAAUUUCUAAAUUUUGGAAGCUUUGAUUUGUGAUAGUGAAAAUGGGGCGGAGAGAAAAGAUAUAGGAGGAAGAG
Molecule: unclassified non-coding RNA, 205 nt
Filed under: Hevea brasiliensis (rubber tree)
Lineage: Eukaryota; Viridiplantae; Streptophyta; Magnoliopsida; Malpighiales; Euphorbiaceae
Source: RNAcentral